This 383-nucleotide ribosomal RNA is filed under the name uncultured bacterium. RNAcentral's name for it is "bacterial SSU rRNA". It matches the Rfam family "Bacterial small subunit ribosomal RNA", at positions 1 to 334 of the family's 1533-position model. The record is from RNAcentral.
CUAGCGACUUCAGAGUUUGAUCCUGGCUCAGGAUGAAUGCUGGCGGCGUGCCUAAUACAUGCAAGUCGAGCGGUAACAGGGGGUCUCACCGUUUCCUUUACACUCCGGGCGGCAUACGCGGGAGGUGAUUUAGAGGGAACAGUGAGACCCUGCUGACGAGCGGCGGACGGCUGAGUAACGCGUGGGAACGGACCCCAAACUGAGGGAUAACUACUCGAAAGAGUGGCUAAUACCGCAUGUGAUCUUCGGAUUAAAGGAUUUAUCCGGUUUGGGACUGGCCUGCGUAGGAUUAGAUAGUUGGUGAGGUAAUGGCUCACCAAGUCGACGAUCCUUAGAUGGUUUGAGAAGAUGAUCAUCCAGACUGGGACUGAGACACGGCCCAG